CUUGAUAGCCUACUACACCCGCUAUCCGCCCGGGUACUACGAGCACUAGCUUAAAACCCAAAGGACUUGGCGGUGCUUUAGAUCCACCUAGAGGAGCCUGUUCUAGAACCGAUAACCCCCGUUAAACCUCACCCCCUCUUGUUUUACCCGCCUAUAUACCGCCGUCGUCAGCUUACCCUGUGAAGGCCCCAUAGUAAGCAAAAUCAGUACAACUCAAAACGCCAGGUCGAGGUGUAGCAUAUGAGGGGGGAAGAAAUGGGCUACAUUCCCUGUCACAGGGAACACGAACAAUGUAAUGAAACGCACAUUAGAAGGAGGAUUUAGCAGUAAGCAGAAAAUAGAGCG
This 345-nucleotide ribosomal RNA is filed under the name Pelmatochromis buettikoferi. RNAcentral's name for it is "partial 12S ribosomal RNA". It matches the Rfam family "Bacterial small subunit ribosomal RNA", at positions 801 to 1356 of the family's 1533-position model. Lineage: Eukaryota; Metazoa; Chordata; Actinopteri; Cichliformes; Cichlidae. The record is from RNAcentral.